CGGAGGGUCCAAGCGUUAUCCGGAAUCGAUUGGGUUAAAGGGUCCGUAGGCGGUUUUGUAAGUCAGUGGUGAAAGCCCAUCGCUCAACGGUGGAACGGCCAUUGAUACUGCAAGACUUGAAUUAUUAGGAAGUAACUAGAAUAUGUAGUGUAGCGGUGAAAUGCUUAGAGAUUACAUGGAAUACCAAUUGCGAAGGCAGGUUACUACUAAUAUAUUGACGCUGAUGGACGAAAGCGUGGGGAGCGAACAGGAUUAGAUACCCUGGUAGUCCACGCCGUAAACGAUGGAUACUAGCUGUUCGGAGCAAUCUGAGUGGCUAAGCGAAAGUGAUAAGUAUCCCACCUGGGGAGUACGUUCGCAAGAAUG
RNAcentral lists this ribosomal RNA (366 nucleotides) under uncultured organism. RNAcentral describes it as "bacterial SSU rRNA". It matches the Rfam family "Bacterial small subunit ribosomal RNA", at positions 526 to 896 of the family's 1533-position model. The record is from RNAcentral.